AAGGGUUUUAUUUUGGGCUUAUCAGGCUGUGCAUCGGAUAAACGACUUUGGGAGUUUUCAGCCCCAGGCACACACAGAUCAAAAGCCGUUUCCCAAGCCGUAGAAACGCACUGAGAUUAAGGGAGAGAGAGGAUCGAGAGAGCUGAAGCUCAUCUCCCAUCUGAUAAUACUGCUGCCCCGGGUCGGGAUGCAGAAGAGAAACCGAGGCUACAAAUCACAGGAUGUGUGAAUAAACGCCAGCCAUUUAAAGUACGUAAACACUGGAGGAUUACGGCAAAGAAUACCACCUCAGACCUGUUAAGGAAUCAUAAAGGAGGAGAACAGCGUUAUUGAGGAAAGAAAGGCCUCAUGGGACACUAUGCAGGGUUAUAAUGGUUUUUCAUGCAUGUGUGUCACCACGACCUGGAGUUUUCAACCCACAGAUCACACGCAGUUGCGAUGAUGGCCACACACUUGGCUUUUUUCCGUAUGAACCUCUGAAGAACCAUCCUGCCACGUUACCAUGUGCAUAUCCACAAGAUUCAUGUGAUCCAUUUGGGCAAGUUCGUCUCUUACUAAAGUGUGAGCAAAUAUCAACCCGGAGAGGAGAAUGAGCUCUCAUUUAGGGCACAAGACAUCAAGAGCUCUAUUUUAUAUUUUGUACUCGUAAUUACGGUCUUUUCUUAGACGGACUGCUCCAGGGGGAAUCCAGACUCCCGUUGAGAUCGUAGAAAGAAAUUCAUAUUUUUAAUUUCUUCCCUUUUUGCUUGACUGUAUUCCUCCCACCAAAACUUCUUCCUUUUUUUUCUUGGUUUCUGUAGUUUGACGUCAUGCUCACAUGCACUUAUCCGCUGUGAUGUUUUGAGAUAUGAAUAAGCACUGUAUGAAUGCCUGAACUCAAAUCGCUGCUUCCUUUAAGGCUCUUUUCAGUGUAACACGGGGCUUACCAGAGAUUUGCACUAAAAGAGCUUUGCUGUCACUUGAUUUGUUUCCUUUUAUUGACCGAAUCUUGUUACAUUAAAGCCAUAUGAACAUUUUUUUUGAUUAAAAUAGAGCUAUUUUUAUAUUUACAGUAGAUCAUUA
This 1062-nucleotide long non-coding RNA is filed under the name Danio rerio (zebrafish). RNAcentral describes it as "lncRNA si:dkeyp-121d2.4 (ENSDARG00000099628.2)". The record is from RNAcentral. Lineage: Eukaryota; Metazoa; Chordata; Actinopteri; Cypriniformes; Danionidae.